AAUGAACGCUGGCGGCGUGCCUAAUACAUGCAAGUCGAGCGGAAAGACGAGGAUCUGGCUGGUCUCGUGUUGGCAGCGGGCGGGUGAUUAACAGGUGGGUAACCUGCCGAGAGGAAUGGGAUAGCGUCGGGAAACCUGAUCUAAUAUCGGAUAAGAGGGUGAACGGCAGGGUUCAACAGUGAAAGCGGGUUUGGCGCGGACGUAGGGAGAGAUGCACGCCGGAUUAGCUAGUUGGUAAGGUAAAGGCUUACCAAGGCAACGAUGCGUAGCCGGCCUGAGAGGACAAUCGGCCAUACUGGAACUGAGACACGGUCCAGACUCCUACGGGAGGCAGCAGUAGGGAAUUUUCGGCAAUGGGCGAAAGCCUGAUCGAGCAACGCCGCGUGAGUGAAGAAGGUCUUCGGAUUGUAAAGCACUGUUAGUGGGAAAGAAAAAAACUGUAAGAAAACCUGGGCGCGAUGACGGUACCCACACAAAAAGCACCGGCUAACUACGUG
RNAcentral lists this ribosomal RNA (497 nucleotides) under uncultured bacterium. RNAcentral's name for it is "partial 16S ribosomal RNA". It matches the Rfam family "Bacterial small subunit ribosomal RNA", at positions 30 to 507 of the family's 1533-position model. The record is from RNAcentral.